RNAcentral lists this ribosomal RNA (566 nucleotides) under uncultured bacterium. Its description in RNAcentral is "partial 16S ribosomal RNA". It matches the Rfam family "Bacterial small subunit ribosomal RNA", at positions 355 to 914 of the family's 1533-position model. The record is from RNAcentral.
UGGGGAAUUUUGGACAAUGGGCGAAAGCCUGAUCCAGCAAUGCCGCGUGUGUGAAGAAGGCCUUCGGGUUGUAAAGCACUUUUGUCCGGAAAGAAAUCCUUGGCUCUAAUACAGUCGGGGGAUGACGGUACCGGAAGAAUAAGCACCGGCUAACUACGUGCCAGCAGCCGCGGUAAUACGUAGGGUGCAAGCGUUAAUCGGAAUUACUGGGCGUAAAGCGUGCGCAGGCGGUUUGCUAAGACCGAUGUGAAAUCCCCGGGCUCAACCUGGGAACUGCAUUGGUGACUGGCAGGCUAGAGUAUGGCAGAGGGGGGUAGAAUUCCACGUGUAGCAGUGGAAUGCGUAGAGAUGUGGAGGAAUACCGAUGGCGAAGGCAGCCCCCUGGGCCAAUACUGACGCUCAUGCACGAAAGCGUGGGGAGCAAACAGGAUUAGAUACCCUGGUAGUCCACGCCCUAAACGAUGUCAACUAGUUGUUGGGGAUUCAUUUCCUUAGUAACGUAGCUAACGCGUGAAGUUGACCGCCUGGGGAGUACGGUCGCAAGAUUAAAACUUAAAUGAAUUGAC